RNAcentral lists this ribosomal RNA (253 nucleotides) under uncultured bacterium. RNAcentral describes it as "partial 16S ribosomal RNA". It matches the Rfam family "Bacterial small subunit ribosomal RNA", at positions 524 to 776 of the family's 1533-position model. The record is from RNAcentral.
UACGGAGGGUGCAAGCGUUAUCCGGAUUCACUGGGUUUAAAGGGUGCGUAGGCGGGCCUUUAAGUCAGUGGUGAAAUACCUGAGCUUAACUUGGGAACUGCCAUUGAUACUAUUUGUCUUGAAUGUCGUGGAGGUUAGCGGAAUAUGUCAUGUAGCGGUGAAAUGCUUAGAUAUGACAUAGAACACCUAUUGCGAAGGCAGCUAACUACGCGAAUAUUGACGCUGAGGCACGAAAGCGUGGGGAUCAAACAGG